Molecule: long non-coding RNA, 273 nt
Filed under: Mytilus galloprovincialis (Mediterranean mussel)
Lineage: Eukaryota; Metazoa; Mollusca; Bivalvia; Mytilida; Mytilidae
Source: RNAcentral
UUUCAAUAAGGGAGCUACCAUUUGAUUUUUAUGGGGGGGCUAGGAUGAAAAAUUUUUUGUCCUGCUUUUUUUUUUAGUUGUAAUCUCUGUCCUGCCUUUUUAUUUUUUACUCUAUUCGGUCCUGCCUUUUUUUUUACUAGUUUAUCCUGACUUUUUUUACAAAAAUUGUCAUCCUGUCUUUUUUUUUUAACAAGUUUCUCAUCCUGCCUUUUUUUUUAACUCAAAACUCCUGUCCUGCCUAUUUUUUUCAAAUUUCAUCCUAGCCCCCCCCCC